GCGACCCCAGGAUGGGCGAGACCACCCGCCGAGUUU
Molecule: ribosomal RNA, 36 nt
Filed under: Maxillaria madida
Lineage: Eukaryota; Viridiplantae; Streptophyta; Magnoliopsida; Asparagales; Orchidaceae
Also listed under: 1 other name
Description: partial 26S ribosomal RNA
Source: RNAcentral